GCGGCUGGGGGCGGGCCCGGUGGCUGCAGAGCCCGCCCUCUGAGAAUGGCUACGUUGGGGGAGGCGAAGGAUCUGGAAGCUGCUGGAAAGCGCUCGAGUGGCGGAGGUGACGUCACUGGGGGUGGGGCGUGAUUAAAACUAGUUCGCGGCCGGCAGCGGAGGGAUUUCGCUGAGGAAAGAGAGUAGCACGUGUUUUGCUGCGGUCUGGCCCGCGAGACCCCGAGUCGGAAGCCGACGCGCCCUUGAGUGACCUGGUGGGCGGGCGAGGGGCGGGCUCCCGGGCCGGCGGAGGGUGCCCGGGAGGCUCUAGGCUGGUGCGUCCACGCGGCACCGCCGUCUCUCCGACUGUGGGCCGCGUGAGGCCUGCAUAGCCGCCGUGCUAAAGCCUCCGUGAGACUCGAGCUGCCCGAGUGCGUGUUCAGAAAGGUCACCACACACGGAGCUGCCCCUCCCUAUCUCCCCAAGCCCCAUCUUCGGGGCCAGGGGCUUUUCUGCCCGGAUUCUGGGAUGUUUCUCCUCCUUCCCUCCCUCCCAGAUCUUCUAACGGUAAGGGCAGAAGCACAGGGACCCUAUCCACGACCGGUUCCAGCCCGUCAGCCUCGGCUCCGUCCCUGCCACGCCGACUCCGGUCUCCUGACUUGUUGUAACGGAGGAGAACGGGAGAACUCUCCUUUGUGAGUUCAGGCGGCUUUCGUAGGAAGGUCAUGUGGUUCCGGGCAGCGUGACCGCGUGUGCUGCUUCCUAGUCUGCAUUCCGAACCUGGGGGGCAGCGCAGUCCUGUGGUUCGAUUGGUUCUAGUCCUAGAAUAACGAUAUGCAGGUGCUGCCCGGUUCUUCGCGGAGCACCCGCGGCAGUGUGGGCUGUGGUUCUCUUCGUGGUCUCGGGCCGAAUGGCCGCCGGAGCUGGUCUUGUGGAGGAACGCUGACCGUGUUGAUAGGGUGGCACAGAGGGACCGAGUCCUGUACACCGAGAAGUUCCAAAGUGAAAAAGCAUUUUAGUUUUUGGUGCUUCUGAAUGCAAAUGGUCAAGAAAUCCAGCAGGAAGUUUGUUUUGCUUUUUCCAGACUGAAAUAUAGGCAGGAUGUCUUCACUGUCGUCUCCAUCUCAUGACCCAGAGACACCUGCUUAUGAAAGAAUAGGAGUCCUGACCAUUCAGGGCCUCUCAAAACAAGUCAAUCUCAUCAAAUGUCCAUGGAGGAUGUUUACCCUGAUUCUGUUGCAAUUUGCCAGGCCACACUUGUCAUUGCCUGUAUGUUCAUGAACAUCAAAAGCACCAGUGACUAGAACUGGAAAAUGGUUGUCAAUUGCUUCAAUAAAGUCCCAGAAGGAAGAGUGAAGCACUCUUUUAACCCCUAGGAACCAAAUGUUUAUUGGAAAGGGAGUCAAGAAAACGAUACCGGCCCUUUUUGAGAAGGAGAAACUAGAGAAUUCACAUAGCUGGACUUCAGGAUUUAUUGUAAUGGGAGGAAUCAAUAUCCUUCAGCCAAAGACUUACAGCCCCCUGUCUGUGUUUUGUAUUUUUUUACGUUAGAGUUUAAUUUCAAAGGCCUUUUGGAAGCAACCUUUGGGCAGACAUUCUGGCAGUUUUUGUGAUAAAUUCAUAUUUGGCAUGCUAUAGUUCACUGUAUCAAACAAGGAAUAACCUUGGCCUAGUUGGGAACUGGUAAAUUCUAAAAAUGUUAGUGUUUGUCUAUAUUUGACCCCUCAGCCCUCCAGUCUGUCUUCCUCUUUUUAAGUUAUAAGAAUGAGGUGUAAUUAGCAUCUAUCAAUCUUAGUGUCCUAACAUUUACUUAUUAUUUAUUAUUCUAUUUUCCUAACUUCUGAUUUGGAGACCCAAUUGUUUUUUUGUUUGCUUGUUUGUUUUAAAUAUAUUUUUAUGAUUUCAGAGAGGAAGGAAGAGGGAGAGCGAGAUAGAAACCUCAAUGAUGAGAGAGAAUCAUUGACUGGCUGCCUCCUGCACGCCCCCUGCUGGGGAUGGAGCCUGCAACCCAGGCAUGUGCCCUUGAUUGGAAUCGAAUCAGGGGCCCUUCAGUCCACAGGCCGACGCUCUAUCCACUGAGCCAAACUUGCCAGGGCGAGACCCAAUUGUUUAUCUUCAAAGAUAGAAGAGGAAGAUUAAAACAAUAAUUUUCAGUAAGUACUCUUUCAGCUAUUAAUUGACUUAUUCAACAUAUUUUAUUUAGUGCCUGCUAUAGGCCAGCCACCCUGCUAGAUAAGAUAGGGUCCCUGCCUACAAGUGGUACAGUAUACAAUAGGAUAGGCAGACACAUAACUGGAUAAUCACAAUUGUGAACACAGUAAUUAAUAUACAGAAUAUUAUGGGAUCACAAAAGAGAGGCACUUCACCUGCCCCAGAUAGGAUCAAGGCAGGCUACAGGAAAGACAUAAACUUUAUUAAUGAAGAUCUAUGAUUCAUUUGCCUAAAUUGGGCAUGGAAGUGUUUGAGCUUUUUGAAUUAGACAAUCCUGUAAAUUGGGAUAAAACAUCCACUAACUCUAAAGUAAAAUAUAUGCCAAAUUUGUAGCUAAUGAUUCAUUUUGAAGAAGGAAAGGAUCUAAUAUAAAUAAGUGACCAUCAAGGCUGUAGGACUAGAGCUAGAAGUUGUUGGGUUUAUUUAAAAGUUUCUUUCCUUUUUAUGUCCCUUCCUGUCUAUAUCAUGGAAAAACAAAUGUGAGAAAUGUGCCUAUAAGUGGAGGUUUUUAUAUUCUUCUUUCUGACACGGCCUCUGUUAAACUUGGAAAUAAAUGAAGGCACCAUCAUUAGAUUGGUUGAAGAUUAGUGCUGUUUGAGGCUAGAAUUUAAAAAAAAUAAAAAGCUUAAUUAGUUUUGCAAUCACUGCCCUCAUGUAAAAUUAAGUAUGAGGAAAAACUCAAUGUUAACUGCAUUUGAGGUUUUCUAAGUCAUGGAUUUGAAAGGGAUCUGCAUAAUAAUUUUAAAUCUUUGAAAAAAAAGUUUAAUCUUUACAACAACCCUGUGAUCACCUCCACUUAAUAGUUGGGAGAACUGAAGCACAAAGGAGUUUUUAAAAACUUGCCUAACUGCUAGUAAGUAGCAGAGCUAGGAUUUGAACCCAGCUCUAUUUAAAUAUAGUUUUCUAUUCACCAUGACAUCCUGCUGAAAUAGAAAGCUGUGUGGGUCCAUUACCUGUGUUCUGUGACUAUAAACUUACCCUAGCAGGAGUAAGCUAUUAUAGACAAUUGUUAAAAGUAUAUGCUUGGGCCAGUGCAAAUCCACACUGCUUCUGAAAAAUAUUGAUAGUGUGCUGUCUUUAAAUAAUAGUCAAAUUUUGAUGUCAUGGGUGUCAUUUAAAGUGUCAGUUGGCAAAUCUCAGAGGGAAAGGGGUGGGGGCUGGAAGAGAUUAACCAAAGAAUUUAUAUGCAUAUAUGCAUAACCCAUGGUCACAGACAAUAGUGUGGUA
Myotis daubentonii (Daubenton's bat) is the source of this 3417-nucleotide long non-coding RNA. RefSeq lists it as uncharacterized. Lineage: Eukaryota; Metazoa; Chordata; Mammalia; Chiroptera; Vespertilionidae. The record is from RefSeq and is a predicted model, not a curated record.